Tupaia belangeri chinensis (Chinese tree shrew) is the source of this 2866-nucleotide long non-coding RNA. RefSeq lists it as uncharacterized. NCBI's taxonomy places the organism in Eukaryota, Metazoa, Chordata, Mammalia, Scandentia, Tupaiidae. The transcript is spliced from 3 exons. The record is from RefSeq and is a predicted model, not a curated record.
UCUUUCUUUUUUUUUUUAAGUAUAUUUAUUUAUUCCAUGAGCACCUCAGAGACAGACAACACCUUUAACAGGGUCUUGGCCUCGCUCUUCAUCCGCAUCUUCAGCCAGCCUCAGUGUGUGCCUGGAGUACCCAAGGGAGUCUCUGGGAAGCCACAUGGAUCAGCCCCACAGAGUGGCUCAGUUUCCCGCGCCUCUCUCCACCCCAUAUCAUGUCCUUCCCAACGAAGGCUGCGCAGCACGCUCCUCGCUCCUCGGGCAGCCCGCCUCACCCCUCAGGCCUAACAGCUCGCCUGCGCCUGCACUGCUGCCGCGGUGCCUGCAGGGGGGAGUGGUCUCACCCUCCUCUUUCUGAUGGAGAAACCAAGGAAUAUGAUAGGACCCUUUUUCUGGUUCCCGGGAUGAGAACAAGGUCCACUGUGUCUCAGUGCAUGGCCCUGGACGGAUGACUCGCUCGGGAAAGGAAUUCCCCCCUCCCCAAACCACCCUGAUACCUGCAUAUCGAUGCCAUAGAUCCAGGCCCAGCAUGCUGUACUGCCCGGAUGAUCACGGUUAUUUCUGGGUGCUUUCCGGGGGCGGUACCCGGGGAGGGGAUGUGGGGGUGCUCAGCUGCCUUCUCACAGUCCACAUCCCCCUCCCGGGGCCCUCCCCACCCCCACUCGUCCUCCCUGCCCGAGUUCUGGGAGGAGGGAAGGAAGCCUGCUAAGCCGGGGUAUAAAUAACUCAGGUGGUUACUCAGCUCCUGAGAACACCAUAACAUGACUCACGAUGGAAUCGAGAGGAGCCUUGGGCCUCCGCCCCGGCAGGACAGCGGAGCUGCUGGGAGGGCGGGCAGGGCCCAGGCUGACAGGUGGCCUUAGACAAGCCUCUUCCCAGCUUGGCCUCAGUUUACUCGUCCAGAACGUGAGGGGGCUGGCUUCAUUCCAAGGCCCUCCCUGAGCUGGGAAGACAGACAGAGCAGGGGCCGAGCUCAGAGCAUUGCUGGCUCCUCCCCUCUGCCUGUCACAGGGGUGGACAGAGCGUGCCCACUGGACGCCUGCUACCACCCCCAGCCCCCAUGUCCAGGGCAAGGGGCUAGGGGCUCCCUGGGCCUAGAUGGGCCUUGCGGGAUGGAGGUAGGGGACUAGGACAGGAGCGGAAAGGUCCUGGACACUGGCCUGCAGAGCCAUGACCUGCAGGGGUGGCCCUGGGUUGAGGACGAUCCUCCCCUCCUUUGGCUUUGUGGCUGCGGUGUGGGCAGGAGCUGUGGACACAGAAACAGGACACUGCAAGGAGCUCCAGCCACACCAGCCUGAGCCCAGGCAGCGAGGCUGGGCUGCUGGCCGGUCCCUGGCGCUGGCCAGCCUGGGUCAGAGGCAUCCCCUGCCUAUCCUCCUCACCUGAGUAGGUCCUCCGCUUCAGGCUCGUCUCCAGGGCAGCGCAGGCCUCAGCCCAGGUUGCCAUGGCAAUGGCUCUGGAGCCUGUACAGGCCGCAGGCUGAGCCACCUCCCUGACCACCUAGAGCUGCCAGGCCCGGUGGGGCAGCAGGGCCCUGUCUGCAAGAAGACGUCGGGUUGGGGUACUGGUGUGCUGCUGACCUAGGCUGGACAUUGGGGCACAAGGGUGUCCGUGUGGCCUUGGGCCUGGGUCUGAGCCUCAGGCACCCCUGUAGACAGCAGAGGGUGCUGUCGCAGCUGUCCGGAGGUCACACAGCUCAGGGACCCCUUCCCACACUUGACCUCAAGCCAAAAGGCUGCAGCCUCAGAGCCCUACUCACCAGGCUUUGCUCUGACCCUUGGCCUAGCUUUGUCUCCGGCGAGGAGGGGGCCACCUCACCCACUGCCCCCCACCUCUGCAGGCUAGACAGCUUGGCAUGGCUCAGACCCAGCCAUUCAACGGGCAGCCUGCCCUCUGGCCCCUUACUAACAAUGGGGACUCCAGGAAUAUUGUCCGGCCUGGGCUGAAUCAAACACUCUAAAUUUAGCCCAUCUGAUGCGUCCUCUGUUUCCGGCCCCUGCUGCCCUCCUUUCAAGGCGAUGAGGUCACCCCAGAACUGCCUGCCCAGAGCCAGACCUGGGGGUUUCCAGGCCCAGGACGCUCUCCUGCACUGGGGGGAGCGGAGCCUCUUGGGGACCCAGAUUCAGGGUCUUCCCUGCUUCUCUCCUUCCCAUCUGCUCUGUCCUGCCCUGCCCCACCCGCCUGGGUUGCUGGGCUCGUAGCUGGUGCUCCUUGGCCUCCCUGGCCUCGUGCCAUCCACAAGACUUUGGCCAUCGGCCGGGGGGAGACCGUGGAGGGAAGCAGCAGUGAGCUCCCGGGGAAGGGUCAGGGCUCGGGCUCCUUCAGGCCUAGAGCGCUGCGUGCCCUCCCACUGGACAGCCCGGAGGGAAGGAGGACAGUCACAAGUAAUCAAUAAAGGAACAGAGCGAUUGCCGUCGUGAGGAUGCGGUAAAGGGGAAGUCAGUCCGAAAUGGGAUCAUGAAACUGAGGUGGGUGGAGGGCCCUGCUUUGAGCAAGGGGUCAGGGAAGGCCUCUCAGAGGGGUGACAUUUGAGCUGAGUCUUGGAUGACCAGAAAGAACUAUUCGAAGAUCUGGGUGGAGCCGAGCCCUCCAGGCAAAGGAGUGGCAAGUACAGACGCCCCAGGAGGGAAGGCAUCUCUGGCUGGAGGCUUGGCCUGGACGUCAUUAUGGCUGGAAGGAGGGAGCAGGGGUGGGCGCGGGCACUGUGGGUCAGGAAGGAGCAGGGACCAGAGAGGGGCUCGUGACAUGCCCUGUGUGAGCAGCAUCCCGCACGCGCCCGGGGUGGUGACCCGGGCAGUUAGCUGCUGUGUACAGAUGGGAUGGGGUGAGACCAGGGACGAGGCGAUGGUCACAGCAAUGUGGAAUAAUAAAA